GUUCACUGCCGUACAGGUAGCUUAGAAA
Non-coding RNA from Methylomicrobium album BG8, 28 nucleotides. NCBI's taxonomy places the organism in Bacteria, Pseudomonadati, Pseudomonadota, Gammaproteobacteria, Methylococcales, Methylococcaceae. The record is from Rfam.